Molecule: long non-coding RNA, 2283 nt
Filed under: Homo sapiens (human)
Lineage: Eukaryota; Metazoa; Chordata; Mammalia; Primates; Hominidae
Description: non-protein coding lnc-C19orf85-3:1
Source: RNAcentral
AUCCUAAAUAGAACCUCCUUCCCUGACCAGAAACCUCCACUUCCCUGCAGGACCCCCAUCCUGACCUGGGCCCUCUCUCCUCACCUGUGGGCCCCAUCCUAUCUUGGAUCCCCUCCUGACCUGGGGGCCCCUUCCUCUGAUCCGAGCCUCCCUCCUCCCCAUUCUGGGCCCCUAAUUCUGACUCACCAUCCCCAAUUCCUUACCCAGGACCCCCGUUCUUAUCCGGGGUUGGCCCUGACCUCUCUCUACCCACAGAACACGACCCUGGACCUCCUAGACCGGGGGCUGCAGGUCCAUGUGGUGGUGGACGCCUGCUCCUCACGCAGGUGAGAGGGCCCCUGCCUGGGUGGGUGCACGUGGGGGCCAUCAGGGGCUCCCAGGAAGGGCCACAGGCGGCAUUCCCACCAGGGUGCCUGCGUGUCUGGGUGUCCAGACUGCGGCGUCCACACCAACCUUCCCUCCCUCCCUCCCACUCACAGCCAGGUGGACCGGCUGGUGGCUCUGGCCCGCAUGAGACAGAGUGGUGCCUUCCUCUCCACCAGCGAAGGGCUCAUUCUGCAGCUUGUGGGCGAUGCCGUCCACCCCCAGUUCAAGGAGGUAAUGCCCGCCUGGCCGCCCCCACCUCCCCUGCAUCUGUCAAAGGUCUUGUCUUUGGGCUCUGAGAAUACAUCUCGGCACCAGCAGGCUGCCGCCUCCAGGGGGAGCCAGGUUCUUGGAGGGGAGGCUGCUGGUCACUGUCACUGCCAUAAAUCCAUGAAAGGAGCCCACAGAUGGACCAUAAGGGCCACAGAGAACAAUAAAAUGGGGGAGGCAAUCCAGAGGGUCAGGGCACAGAGGAGGGGGUUUGUAUUGGAGGGUCUGGGGGGCAUCCUGGAGCAGGUGACUUUAGAAUGAACUGAAGGAGGGAGUGACCAGGCGGACACUGGGGAAGAACAGGUCAGCAGAGACCCUCUAGAUAGAAGCCCCUUGACCCGUCCACACCCAUCUCCAACUCUCCAUCUCCUCCGCCUCUGCCCCUUCCGGCCCGGGUGCCCCUCCUCCAGUUUCUCAGACUCCACUGGCCACCCUGCUACCGGGGUCAGCCAGGUACUGGGCCCCCCUGCUUCAAGCCAUUGGCCCUCAGGAUGCUGGAGAGGCCCCAGACCUUGACAUUCCCAGGCCCUCCCAGGUCUGCUCCUUACCUUCCUUCUAGUUCAGCUCUGUGGGACAUUCACCGAGCACCCACUCUGUGCCAGCCACUGUGGUGAGCCCUGGAGUCUGCAGCAAUCCAUGUUCAGUGACACAUUGUGACCCCCAGCUGGGGCAGGAGUUGCAGAGGGAUGAGCAAGAGUGGCAGAGGUGGCCCUGAAUUCUGAGCUGCCGGGGAAGGGGGCAUCAGGCACUCACAGUGUUCCCAGGGGAGGGGGACUGAGCUUUCUUUGAGGAGCUGUAGCAGGCCAGGGUGAGCACCACGCGGGAGGAGCCAGCAGCCUGUCUUCACGCAGGAGUCAGAGCCCAGAGGUUUGAGAUUUCAGCCACGGGCAGCCAUCAGGGUUUGAUGCAGGGGAGCUGGCCAUAUCAGAUCGGCAGUUUACAAAGUUCUUUCUGGCCCUGUGUGACCAGUGGAUUAGGGAGUGUGGCAUAGAGGGGAGGAGGGAGACCUGUCAGUAAGGAGGUUAAUUUGGGCGCCCAGGCAAGCGGUGAUGAGGCAGUGAGGAGCUCAACCAGUCACGUGUAAUGAAAGGGAGGCCCCAGGAAAAGUCUUGAGAAGAGGGAGUGUUGUCUUGGGCAGCUGCUAGCCAGAAGGUCCGAGAGAUGAAGACGGAGAGGUGUCCCUCAGAUUUGUCAUCCAUGGAGAUCGGGACCCUAGACGCUUCCUGACCCAUCGCCCCCUGCCCUUACAGAUCCAGAAACUCAUCAAGGAGCCCGCCCCAGACAGCGGACUGCUGGGCCUCUUCCAAGGCCAGAACUCCCUCCUCCACUGAACUCCAACCCUGCCUUGAGGGAAGACCACCCUCCUGUCACCCGGACCUCAGUGGAAGCCCGUUCCCCCCAUCCCUGGAUCCCAAGAGUGGUGCGAUCCACCAGGAGUGCCGCCCCCUUGUGGGGGGGGCAGGGUGCUGCCUUCCCAUUGGACAGCUGCUCCCGGAAAUGCAAAUGAGACUCCUGGAAACUGGGUGGGAAUUGGCUGAGCCAAGAUGGAGGCGGGGCUCGGCCCCGGGCCACUUCACGGGGCGGGAAGGGGAGGGGAAGAAGAGUCUCAGACUGUGGGACACGGACUCGCAGAAUAAACAUAUAUGUGGC